Molecule: ribosomal RNA, 497 nt
Filed under: uncultured bacterium
Lineage: Bacteria
Description: partial 16S ribosomal RNA
Rfam family: Bacterial small subunit ribosomal RNA
Source: RNAcentral
GAUGAACGCUGGCGGCAUGCCUAAUACAUGCAAGUCGAGCGAAUGGACGAGAAGCUUGCUUCUCUGAUGUUAGCGGCGGCAGGGUGCGUCACAAGUGGAUAAACUACCUCUAAGACUGGGCUAACAUCGGGAAACCGGAGCUAAUACCGGAAAAUAUUUUGUACGGCAUGGUUCAUAAGUGAUAGACGGUCUUGCCGUCACUUAUCGCUGGAUCCGCGCUACAUUAGCGAGUUGGUAAGGUCACGGCUUACCAAGGACACGAUUCAUACCUGACCUGAUAGGUUGAUCGGCCACACUGGAACUGAGACACGGUCCAGACUCCUACGGGAGGCAGCAGUAGGGAAUUUUCCACAAUGGGCGAGAGCCUGACGGAGCAAUGCCGCGUGAGUGAAGAAGGUCUUCGGAUGUGAAAGCUCUGUUAUUAGGAAAGAACAGAUGUGUAUGGAUCUGUGCACAUCUUGACGGUACCUAAACAGAAAGCCCCGGCUAACUACGUG